UGAUUACAAUUUGAGGCAUCACACUGAGCUGUGAGGUCAGAAAUGAAUCAUACAAAACAUUCAAUUGCAAUUUUUGACUUGCUCAGCAGUGUAAGUAAAAAGUCUUUAGUAUUUAUUUAUUUAGGUCAAUGUUCAUUUGAAAAUACUUGGUUAACAAUAACAAUUAUAUUUUAGCACGUUAAAGAGCAUUCAUUUAUUAACCAUUACAUCAUGUAAACACAGAUUUUAGCAUUGUGUCACUGUUAAUUUAGGGUGCCAGUGGCAUAAACAUUCCUAAAUGAUCAAAUUGGACUCAAAUGUUUUAAUUGUGCAUACAAAAACUAAACAGAGCUUUGGUUUGCUGCGAUUUGGGUCAAAAGUACAAACCAAAAAAACCCUCCUGUAACUUUCUGGGUGCUUUUCAUUUGUGUCCCGUCUUGGAGAAGUUGGGAGAGAGGGAGGGGAGGAGGAGAAGGGAGGUGGAGUAAGGUCGGAGUUCCACGCGAGAGGACUAGCAAAGGAGCUGCUUCAUACUGUGCUGCUCUUGGCUCUUGCUGCCCUUGGCUGUCCGUACAUCUCUGUUUGUAUUCGCUGGGAGUCAGCGUGCACCUGUGUGUGUGUGUGUGUGUGUGUGUGUGUGUGUGUGCGCGUGUGUGUGUGUGUCUUCUAAUCCAACUGGUUGUUUACCCAUGCUGUCAUGUGAGCAGCUCAUGCAGCAAUCUGCAGGAGAGAGGCAGAACUGGACUUGACAGACUGAGCAAAACAAAACCUCUGAACAAAGGAAUGUAUUUGGGAAGUUUGUGCCUCCAUCUUGAGUUGAAAGACAUCUGAGGGGACUAACUUUCCUCACAGCAGUGCCGGUCUGACAACAAGAUGACUUGUAUAGUGAAUGAUGGCUGUCUGAACCUCUGGAGUAGAUCAACAGCAGCCGUUCACACUGGCUUGUUGCUUUUCGCUGAAGCGCUGGCCUGCGGUGGAUCUCAAAGCCCGACGGAGUCCAUUUGACACCAGAGGAUGUUUGAGCGUCAGUGUCCAGCCUGUCCCCUGUUGAGAUGCCUCUCGUUCCAUCUUGUCGGGCCACGUCGUCUUCCUCCCUCUGCUAGGAUGGAGAGACACGCAGGGAUGACUGCGGCAGCCAUCGAGACGGCAGUCAGCCGGCCUCCUUUCAGUUCACUGUGAGCAUGGUGGCCAUAAGGAACUUUGAUCCAGAAUGACCUCAGCAACAGCACUGAGAGCGCGGCCAGUCGCUGAAUCCUCAGAGGUGGUCAGCGGCUGAUCUGCUUUGAAUGCCAACGCAAAGGUAACAUGACUAAAGUGUCUGAAGACGAGGAGGGAUUCGACACUCAGGGGCCCGCUUAAGCUUUGCUCUCAGUACAAAUCCUCUCAAUGUGUUUGAUGUCCUACGGCAACUCCCAAAAUGAUUGCAUAGUUGCGCUUUUGUAAAAAAAUGAUCCCAAACGUUAUUUCACGCACGCUCUUUUGGUAAACUGGGAUAUGCACCAAAGUCCAUGUUUGUGUUAUCUUGAAUAUUGUUCUCCUCAUGCUUGGUUGACAUAUUUUAGGACGUAUAUUUCGGAUUAGCCAUUAGACCUCCUAGAAGUGGAAAUAAAUGAAAGAAAAUCCAGACUUGGUGCCACCUCCUUCGCUCAAACAGCUCCUUGAAGAUUCUCAACAAGAUUUUCGAGAUUGUCUCUGGCAAUAUUUUGUCCACAGUGUUUGUUGUCCACAAUCCAAGCAGGCCUUUAUAGACCUUUCCGCAACAGAAUAGGGCCCUUCCCAUAUUGUUGACACGAAGAACAGAAUUGAGUGUCCAUUUUUUUCUUUUGUGGCCUUCGCAGCCAAUGGCACUCUUGGCCAAAGUCCACGUGGCACCAAAAGGCUUUAGCAUUCCUGAUGUCUGUGGCUAAUCUGUGGUGUCAGCUUGUGUUAACGCUGCACUGCCAAAUUUGAGUGCUCGCCGCGCGGGCGAAUAUUAAAAAAAAAAAAAGUCACAUCAGCUGCAUUCCUGGAGGGCGAGUGUGCGGAGCAAGGGUCACAUAAGGUUGAACGGGGCUUGCGCGCUGAGCCGCGAGUACAGUAACGGUCCAUUGGGCUGGAGAGAAGGCGGGGACCGUGCAGGACGGCACACUUGAACAAACUUCAAAGGGGGCUAGAGCGUUUUUUUUCCCUCAUUGAAAGCAGCCUAAAUGAGCUUUGGGGAGGGGGGGUUCGCCCCUGCUGUUAGACAAUUGAGAGGCACGAUGAGGGAUGCCGGAAAAGGGCGGCGGGUCAUAUGUGCAGUUAAUUAUCUGCUCCUCAGCCUGCCAUACAAUUUCUGCAUACCACCCUUAUUGACCUUGACCCACUGGGAGGUAAUAUGCUGAAUUUGCAAGGUCUUGCAAGUACAGUAGAAGU
Molecule: long non-coding RNA, 2373 nt
Organism: Hippocampus zosterae (dwarf seahorse)
Lineage: Eukaryota; Metazoa; Chordata; Actinopteri; Syngnathiformes; Syngnathidae
Exons: 6
Source: RefSeq, a predicted model, not a curated record